CACGUAGGCGGGUAUUUAAGUCAGGGGUGAAAUCCCGGAGCUCAACUCCGGAACUGCCUUUGAUACUGGAUACCUUGAGUUCGAGAGAGGUGAGUGGAAUUCCGAGUGUAGAGGUGAAAUUCGUAGAUAUUCGGAGGAACACCAGUGGCGAAGGCGGCUCACUGGCUCGAUACUGACGCUGAGGUGCGAAAGCGUGGGGAGCAAACA
RNAcentral lists this ribosomal RNA (207 nucleotides) under uncultured bacterium. Its description in RNAcentral is "partial 16S ribosomal RNA". It matches the Rfam family "Bacterial small subunit ribosomal RNA", at positions 568 to 774 of the family's 1533-position model. The record is from RNAcentral.